RNAcentral lists this small RNA (538 nucleotides) under Pongo abelii (Sumatran orangutan). RNAcentral's name for it is "retained intron". The record is from RNAcentral. Lineage: Eukaryota; Metazoa; Chordata; Mammalia; Primates; Hominidae.
GACUUUUAGCCCUGAGCUUUCCAGAGUGUGAUGCUGAGGCCUCAUCUGAGGAUGAGAGCUCCAACAAUAGGGAAAACCUCGAUUAGCAAGCCCUGGGGAGGGUAGCAGGAGAUGUAGGAUAUAAGGCUAUGAUUUGAAUGUGAGCAGGUGCAAUGCAAACUGCUGGCAAGGCAGCAGUGCUCAGGCAGCAGAUGUGUUUCUAGUGGCCUCCAGGAUCACUGGAGUGGCCUGUGCCUCCCCAGGGGAAAAGUAGGGUGAACUCCUCUGUUAUUUGUGGAAUUUUACAUCCUGGGCCUCCAACUGUUCUGCCUGCUAAGAGGUUCCAAGUGGACUUAUUUUGGUAAGUAGAGAUUUUAAAUACUUUUUUGUUGAAAAGAAAAUAGAAAUGGUUGUAUUUAAUGAGAAAAACAGAAACUUCAUGCUCUGUGGAGGUGAUUUUGAAGGGUGGGAAGCACAGUUCUUGUAUUGUAGAAAGAGAGUACAAAGGCAUCUCCUAAGAACACUUCAACUUGGGUUGCAUACCGCACUUUCUCCAAAC